This 437-nucleotide ribosomal RNA is filed under the name uncultured bacterium. RNAcentral's name for it is "bacterial SSU rRNA". It matches the Rfam family "Bacterial small subunit ribosomal RNA", at positions 43 to 517 of the family's 1533-position model. The record is from RNAcentral.
CAGGCCUAACCAUGCAAGUGGAAGGGUAACAGGCCUAGCUUGCUAGGCGCUGACGAGUGCGGACGGGUGAGUAACGCGUGAGAAUCUGCCCAGUAGCGGGGGACAACCGGUGAAAACCAGGCUAAUACCGCAUACGCCCUACGGGGGAAAGGCUUCGCCACUAUUGGAUGAGCUCGCGUCGGAUUAGCUAGUUGGUGGGGUGGAGGCUACCAAGGCGACGAUCCGUACCUGGUUUGAGAGAAUGAUCAGCCACACGGGACUGAGACACGGCCCAGACUCCUACGGGAGGCAGCAGUGGGGAAUAUGGACAAUGGGCGAAAGCCUGAUCCAGCAAUGCCGCGUGUGUGAAGAAGCCUUCGGGUUGUAAAGCACUUUCAGCAGGGAGGAUAAUGACGUUACCUGAGAAGAAGCACCGGCUAACUUCGUGCCAGCAGCCG